This 253-nucleotide ribosomal RNA is filed under the name uncultured bacterium. Its description in RNAcentral is "partial 16S ribosomal RNA". It matches the Rfam family "Bacterial small subunit ribosomal RNA", at positions 524 to 776 of the family's 1533-position model. The record is from RNAcentral.
UACGUAGGGGGCAAGCGUUGUCCGGAAUCAUUGGGCGUAAAGCGCGUGUAGGCGGCUCGAUAAGUCUGCUGUGAAAGUCCAGGGCUCAACCCUGGGAUGCCGGUGGAUACUGUCGAGCUCGAGUCCGGAAGAGGCGAGUGGAAUUCCUGGUGUAGCGGUGAAAUGCGCAGAUAUCGGGAGGAACACCAGUGGCGAAGGCGAUCACCUGGGGUUGUUCUGACGCUGAGGAGCGAAAGCCAGGGGAGCAAACGGG